AGGAUGAACGCUGGCGGCGUGCUUAACACAUGCAAGUCGAACGGUGAUCUCGAGAGCUUGCUCUUGGGUGAUCAGUGGCGAACGGGUGAGUAACACGUGAGCAACCUGCCCCAGACUCUGGAAUAACCCCGGGAAACCGGAGCUAAUACCGGAUACGACACUGGCCCGCAUGGGUAUGGUGUGGAAAGUUUUUCGGUCUGGGAUGGGCUCGCGGCCUAUUAGCUAGUCGGUGGGGUAAUGGCCUACCAAGGCUUCGACGGGUAGCCGGCCUGAGAGGGCGACCGGCCACACUGGAACUGAGACACGGUCCAGACUCCUACGGGAGGCAGCAGUGGGGAAUAUUGCACAAUGGGCGCAAGCCUGAUGCAGCGACGCCGCGUGGGGGAUGAAGGCCUUCGGGUUGUAAACCCCUUUCAGCAGGGAAGAAGCGAAAGUGACGGUACCUGCAGAAGAAGCGCCGGCUAACUACGUGCCAGCAGCCGCGGUAAUACGUAUGGCGCAAGCGUUGUCCGGAAUUAUUGGGCGUAAAGAGCUCGUAGGCGGUUUGUCGCGUCUGCUGUGAAAACCCGAGGCUCAACCUCGGGCCUGCAGUGGGUACGGGCAGACUAGAGUGUGGUAGGGGAGACUGGAAUUCCUGGUGUAGCGGUGGAAUGCGCAGAUAUCAGGAGGAACACCGAUGGCGAAGGCAGGUCUCUGGGCAUUAACUGACGCUGAGGAGCGAAAGCAUGGGGAGCGAACAGGAUUAGAUACCCUGGUAGUCCAUGCCGUAACGUUGGGCACUAGGUGUGGGGGACAUUCCACGUUUUCCGCGCCGUAGCUAACGCAUUAAGCGCCCGCCUGGGGAGUACG
RNAcentral lists this ribosomal RNA (849 nucleotides) under uncultured bacterium. RNAcentral describes it as "bacterial SSU rRNA". It matches the Rfam family "Bacterial small subunit ribosomal RNA", at positions 26 to 884 of the family's 1533-position model. The record is from RNAcentral.